AAUUGCUGGAUACACUAUAAUGUUUCAGAUCAGUUGGAAUGUUUGAAGUCAUACAAACAACAUAUUUUUGAACAUAUUUUUGGAAUACAGGAACUAGUUUUUUUUUGUUACUAUGGGGUGGUCACUCAGAAUGACAAAAAAUCCCGAGCUUUUCCUGGUAACUUUUUGACCCGAUUCUAAAAUGUCAUAGUUUACAGUGGAAGUUAAAUGUAACCUUUUCAGGAAGUUUUAAGAGAACUAAUAUUUUCGAAAGCUUCACUUAAAAUAGUACUAAGACGAACUUAAAAAUAAUGUUAGAACUAAUGUACUGCUUAUUAUCCUACUAAGUUAUGUGUUCGCAUGUACCAAUUAUAACGAACGGUACUGUUGCGUACAGUUUCAGUACGCUUGCUGCUGAGUGGAACUGGUAACCCAGAAGCAAUAGUCUAUUUUAUGAGGCUAGUCAAACGACAGAACUCCGCGCUCUGAUGUUUACGUUUUCAAUCAUCAUCUGGUUGAUGAUGGUUAAUGACUGCGCGCAAGUCAAGCGUAGUUUUUGAAACUGGCUAAAACCAUAAUAAGAUAUUUUUAUUUCAUUUUUUUCCGCUAGUUAACGAAUGAAUCGUGACGAAAAAAAUACCUGAUUAAUUAUUGAGAUUUAUAUUGCUUCUACGACAGCUUUUGAACCUAUUUUGGCUCAAAUUUCUCAUAUCUCCAAUUUGUUGAACAAGUACCUUUUCAAAAAUUACGCGAUAUUCUUGCAAAACAAACGUGCGUGGAAUUCUGUCAGUUGACGCCGCUGCUGCGAUCAGUUGUUCUGAAACGUCUCGUAAAAUGGCUUAUAGUGGAGUGCAUGAGCGGCGGCGCGGAGGUCGACAGUGGUGAUAAUUUUACAACUCGGCAGUGUCUUUGGUUCGUCAACGCGAAAGGGCACGGCGGUUAGGAGAUACGUCUGCCCCGAGAACGAAUACCACAUUUAUUGAAGCUGCUUGGAGUAAGAAGCUGCUGUCGAUGGGUGGUUUUAGUUCUGCGGCAAAGCGUCCCUAACUGGUACUGUAAUUAUGUUGUUUCCCAAAAUACUUGUAUGCAAGUCUUUGAUGAAAGUUAUGUGCAAAACGUCAAAACUGUAUGUUGUGUUGGCAUGUAUUCAUUAGUAUCCGUACUUAUUGUUGACGUUAGGACAAAACUGAAAAUGUACGUAUUAAUUCUGUGAUAUUUUAUGUAACUAAUUAUAAAUAAUAAAUUACAGUUUUGAGUGUCUGGCCGAGUGCAACACUGGAAAAACGGUUUCAGUCCAGCGUCCGAAAAACAUCCGCGGCGGGAUGAAAUCCCGUCGCAACAUCAUGUACUGAUUGAUCGGUUGAUGAAGAAUACUGACGAAUGAUGAAGAAUACUGACGAAUCUCAAAAUUAAAGUUACGACAUCUCAAGAAAAGAUUCGUAAAAUUCAGGGAUGAUCGACUUAUGAGGGAGUGUUCAACCUAGAGGAAGCGAAGGAUUUCCUCUUUAUUGCCGUCGAGCAGAUACAGAGUUUCCGUACCUCAAAAACUCUCACGGCAAUAACCAUCAAGGUCAGUGGCCUCCUCCAAAAGGGACUGGCUACCCGAAGAGCUUCACUGAUUGUUCCCUGAUGGGUUAAUCCUCCUCCAAAAGGGACUGGUUACCCGAAGAGGAUUAAGGUUGAACUUCUCUUCCAAAAGGGACUGGUUACCCGAAGAGAAUUAGGUGGUUUCGGAUAUUUCAAAACAAAGUGUCUGACUUGACUCGUACUAGAAUCUACCGCGAAUCCUUUAUUCAUGGAACGGGGUCCCCUUAUAUACCCUCGUCCAGACCUGUCCAGACAUUUUCGCACCCUCUUUCUAACAUGUUUUUCCUGAUCCUGUGGAAAACUAUUCCAUUUGUAUAUGUGCCGUACAGAAAGUAUGCUCAUCCUUUCCACAUCAUUAAUUAGUCAUGAUCGAUCGAGAUUCUAACUUGCAUACAUAUAAUCUUGCUAUAAACCUUCCAAGCAAAUCUUGCUUACAAUUAAUUUAGCCGAGUUGAGAAUCUUUUCAGCAAUUAAGCCUCUGCAAUAGAUUAGAGUUUUCCUAGAUUAACUCUUGGUGGUGAGCAUGGAUAGUUGCAUACAAUUGUAAUCCUAGCGGUGCUUGUCUGGUUUAAUAGGGUUUCAUAAUAUUGCUUAAUCAUAAUGCUUAUGUAUAAGUGGCAGAGCUUUAUCUGAGUGUGCAAUAUCAAAUUCGAUCGCAUAAUUCAUCUCACGCAUGCGUAUUACCGAAGAUGCCUACAUGAAUCGAUCCAACUUUGUACUUCCACACAUCUAGAAUUCUUGCAUCAUAUGGAUCAUGAAUGAACCUGAAUAUGAAAACGCGUAGUAAAGAUCAUGAUUGAUCCUGAAUAUGAAAACGUUUUCAUUCAAUACAACUUGAUCAUUCAUUCCCUAUAAUAUUCUGAAUGUAUGCGAUCUGCGUAUCAUACGCUUAAUAAUUGACAUUGACAUUGAUCUUGCGCUAGAGUCCCAUUGCCAAGCAUAACCGUAGUAACAUCAGGGAAGUGGAAAGCAAAUGAUUUGUUUUUCAAUAUAUGCGCUGGACUAAUCGUUUACUAAGCGCGGUUUGCUCCGCGCUGGAUCAUGUGUUUAUCCAAAACAGUCCCUCCCAUGACGCUACGCAAUCAAAGCAUAAUGGUGAUAACGUUUGGUGAAACGUUGGCUCGUUUCCAAUCGAUUCAGAUUGAUUUUUGCACAUUGGAAUUUACACCGAUCUACAUGAAUUUGUGACCAACGCGAUUCAUCAAGCGUUAUUUUUACAAUUAUUAUGUUCCUUAUUAUUAUAAAUCAUUAUAAUAGGAAUGUUUGUGUGGCACUUCUCUUGCCAUUACUAUAAUCAAGUGAAGAGUGAGCGUCGAAUAUAUUGUGCUUACAAUAGAUAAAUGAGACUUUGACCAAACCAUCGACGUUGUAACUACUGCCUGCCAACUACUAACCCGUACAAGCUAGCAGCAGCAAGAAACUCCUCGAACUGGGUCUCAGAGUCGGCUUACUACUGGGUGAUCAAGGGGACGCGUGACAAAGUAUGGAAACACCGAAUUUUCAUGUUCUUUAAACAAUUUAUUAGCCCUAUUCUGUGGCGUGUGGGUGUAAGAAAACAUUUCGUGUGGCGUGUAUGAGAGGGGAUCGAUCACUGGGUACUCACUACUCUACUCCUUCGGCGUUGACCCCCACGGUUACGCACGAUUGCGAUAGCCCUACCGUGUGGCCGAAUUCUCGCAGCGGGGCUGCUCGGUGAUGGUGUCCGUGGAUCCGGAAGCACAUCGGAUCUGUCCAGCGGCUUUGCUGGGGUGUUGUAGCUGAGCUUGAAGGCGUCUUCUCUCAUAGGCUGUAUCGGCACGGCCCAGGACGAGACCAGAGUGACCGUGCCGAGAGAGGUCCCUCCUAGAUAAUUAGGGCCGGCGGCCCGAGGGAUUCGUCCGGAAUCGGACGACGGGGUGUCCUUGGUAUUUAGACUCGGAAGCCAUUUUGACUUCCGAGCCGACCCGUGUGAGGACCGUAUUUUAAAAUACGGCAAGAGGUCCUGAAGAAAAUAUUAUUAUUCCGUCAGGGUGGUCGGGUAUUUCUAGUGUAGACCAAAUUACCUGAACGGGAGUAGGCCGUUGCUCCAACUCCCGCCAUCGGAAAAGAAAGGGGGGGGGGGUAUAGCAACACUACGCGGCACUACUUUUAUCCGAUCGUAAGGAUCGGUGUUACUCACACGGACGCCUAUAUUGUUCUGCCUCAAAACUUAUCAAUUUGGAAGAUGGCAGCGCCCAUGGGACAGAAUGCACAGCCAUGACACACAUAAACACGAAAAUCACGAUGGCCAUGUUCUAUCCCUUCAGUAAUACCAUGUUACAAUAUUGGUAGCGGAGUAACCCUCUCAGUCGUGUAUUCCUACUGUGUUAUUACUAUACAAAAAAACAUGAAAUUUCCGCCAACAUUCGGCUCAUACAGAAAUAAAAACCUAAAGAUGUAACCGACAGGUUACAACGUGGCGACACGAUUAGUUGAAUUUAUGCAAUUAUUUGUGAAAAUAAAAAUAAAAAAGGACAAUGGUAGAGGGUCAGAAUUCCUUGAGGAAUUGAUAAAGAAAAGUUAUAGGUGGAUUUCAUAGUAAAAUUCCAACAGCCUUUUCCCAAAAAUUCUUGCAAAUUUAUUUCCGAAACUAAUAGGCAAAAACGGGAUGCCGACAAAAAGCAUUCUAGAUGACCUUCUGGCUGAAUAUCUGGAGAGAUUACUCAUGGAAGCAA
Molecule: long non-coding RNA, 4259 nt
Organism: Aedes albopictus (Asian tiger mosquito)
Lineage: Eukaryota; Metazoa; Arthropoda; Insecta; Diptera; Culicidae
Exons: 2
Source: RefSeq, a predicted model, not a curated record